This 494-nucleotide ribosomal RNA is filed under the name uncultured bacterium. Its description in RNAcentral is "partial 16S ribosomal RNA". It matches the Rfam family "Bacterial small subunit ribosomal RNA", at positions 28 to 507 of the family's 1533-position model. The record is from RNAcentral.
GACGAACGCUGGCGGCGUGCUUAACACAUGCAAGUCGAACGGAAAGGCCUGCUUUCCCUUGUGGAUUGCGGGUACUCGAGUGGCGAACGGGUGAGUAACACGUGAGUGAUCUGCCCCCAACUUGGGUAUAAGCCUGGGAAACUGGGUCUAAUUCCCGAUAGGACUGCAGGGUGGUGCCUGUGGUGGAAAACGAUUUUCUAGUGGUUGGGGAUGAGCUCGCGGCCUAUCAGCUUGUUGGUGGGGUAUUGGCCUACCAAGGCGGCGACGGGUAGCCGGCCGGAGAGGGUGGACGGCCACAUUAGGACUGAGAUACGGCCCAGACUCCUACGGGAGGCAGCAGUGGGGAAUCUUGCACAAUGGGCGGAAGCCUGAUGCAGCGACGCCGCGUGGAGGAUGACGGCCUUCGGGUUGUAAACUCCUUGCGACCGCGAGGAAGCCACCUGGUUGGAAGGGUGGUGACGGUAGUGGUAGAAGAAGCACCGGCUAACUACGUG